RNAcentral lists this ribosomal RNA (468 nucleotides) under uncultured bacterium. RNAcentral's name for it is "partial 16S ribosomal RNA". It matches the Rfam family "Bacterial small subunit ribosomal RNA", at positions 28 to 507 of the family's 1533-position model. The record is from RNAcentral.
GACAAACGCUGGCGGCGUGCUUAACACAUGCAAGUCGAACGGAAAGGCCCUGCUUUUGUGGGGUGCUCGAGUGGCGAACGGGUGAGUAACACGUGAGUAACCUGCCCUUGACUUUGGGAUAACUUCAGGAAACUGGGGCUAAUACCGGAUAGGAGCUCCUGCUGCAUGGUGGGGGUUGGAAAGUUUCGGCGGUUGGGGAUGGACUCGCGGCUUAUCAGCUUGUUGGUGGGGUAGUGGCUUACCAAGGCUUUGAAGGGUAGCCGGCCUGAGAGGGUGACCGGGCACAAUGGGGCUUAGGUAAGGCCCAGACUCCUACGGGAGGCAGCAGUGGGGAAUAUUGCACAAUGGGCGGAAGCCUGAGGCAGCAACGCCGCGUGCGGGAUGACGGCCUUCGGGUUGUAAACCGCUUUCGCCUGUGACGAAGCGUGAGUGACGGUAAUGGGUAAAGAAGCACCGGCUAACUACGUG